This 253-nucleotide ribosomal RNA is filed under the name uncultured bacterium. RNAcentral's name for it is "partial 16S ribosomal RNA". It matches the Rfam family "Bacterial small subunit ribosomal RNA", at positions 524 to 776 of the family's 1533-position model. The record is from RNAcentral.
UACGGAGGGUGCGAGCGUUGUCCGGAAUCAUUGGGCGUAAAGCGCGUGUAGGCGGCUUGGUAAGUCCGCUCUGAAAGCCCGGGGCUCAACCCCGGGAGGCGGGUGGAUACUGUCAAGCUCGAGUCCGGAAGAGGCGAGUGGAAUUCCUGGUGUAGCGGUGAAAUGCGCAGAUAUCAGGAGUAACACCAGUGGCGAAGGCAGCUCGCUGGGACGUGACUGACGCUGAGACGCGAAAGCGUGGGGAGCAAACAGG